ACCUAAUAGAUACCCAGGUAGUCCACGCCCUAAACGAUGCGAACUGGAUGUUGGGUACAUUACGGUACUCAGUGUCGAAAGCUAAACGCGUUAAGUUCGCCGCCUGGGGAGUACGGUCGCAAGACUGGAACUCAAAGGAAUUGACGGGGGCCCGCACAAGCGGUGGAGUAUGUGGUUUAAUUCGAUGCAACGCGAAGAACCUUACCUGGCCUUGACAUCUGUCGAAUCCUGCAGAGAUGCGGGAGUGCCGCAAGGAACGACAAGACAGGUGCUGCAUGGCUGUCGUCAGCUCGUGUCGUGAGAUGUUGGG
Molecule: ribosomal RNA, 310 nt
Filed under: uncultured bacterium
Lineage: Bacteria
Description: bacterial SSU rRNA
Rfam family: Bacterial small subunit ribosomal RNA
Source: RNAcentral